This 279-nucleotide ribosomal RNA is filed under the name uncultured bacterium. Its description in RNAcentral is "partial 16S ribosomal RNA". It matches the Rfam family "Bacterial small subunit ribosomal RNA", at positions 506 to 784 of the family's 1533-position model. The record is from RNAcentral.
UGCCAGCCGCCGCGGUAAUACGGAGGGUGCAAGCGUUGCUCGGAAUUACUGGGCGUAAAGCGCACGCAGGCGGUUUAUCAGGUCGGAUGUGAAAGCCCAGGGCUCAACCCUGGAACUGCAUUCGAAACCGGUAGACUUGAGUUCGAGAGAGGGUGGUGGAAUUCCUGGUGUAGAGGUGAAAUUCGUUGAUAUCAGGAGGAACACCGGUGGCGAAGGCGACCACCUGGCUCGAUACUGACGCUCAUGUGCGAAAGCGUGGGGAGCAAACAGGAUUAGAUA